CCGAGCAACACUUCAGGAUAAAGACGCAUUUCAAAUGCUGUUUUAGCGCUGUUUUGAACUAGCUGUGGUAAGAACAAUACCACUGGUGUGGCCUGUCAUUGACAGACAAAGCUGACAUGUGCCAGGACAUCAGCUGCGAUUCGGGAAUACACUGGCAUCCGAGUGACUUUGGUCAUCUUGUUUACUUAAAAUCCAGAACAAACAUCUUAUAAAUGUGUUUUUCAAGCUUCUAUUCUGAACGGAUGUGGAGGAACCAAAUCAAUGCACCACUGAAGGACUGCAGUUCAUGGAUCUUUUCCCAGUAAUCAGAUAUCAUCUGAGAGGAGUGACCAGCAGUCUUGGAAGUCUGAUGUGCAUGAUAAAAUCUUUUUAUGACACACGCCCGGAGACAGGAGAGCCAAUCAGAGAGAGCGAGAGCUGCACCAUAUGUUAAACCAGGCUGGUUUCCUGAACAGCCACACAGCUCUAGUCCGGAUGUCUCAUGUCACACAGUUCUCUCUGUGCACUAGGCCAGCUGUGCCCUUUCCUGCCCUCUUGGCUUCUCCCCUUGUUUUGCAUUAAAGGCGACCCAUAAUUCCCAUGAGUUUGGCCCUGCUUGGGUUAUUCCUCCAGAAGUCAUCAGCUGUGAGAAUACACUUAGACCUCAUGAGCCUCUACUGCUGUUAGUCAGCCAAAUGUUAAGUCACUGCACACCAGCGCACAAACAAACAACAGCAUGGCUGAAACACUUUUGGUAGCAGCUCAAAUUCAGCCCGAGAUUAGCUCUACUGUAAGAUUUGACCCUCUGUAUCCCUGCUCUUGCUGCUGAUGUUUGUGAAGCAUGGCACAAUAGG
Molecule: long non-coding RNA, 833 nt
Organism: Carassius carassius (crucian carp)
Lineage: Eukaryota; Metazoa; Chordata; Actinopteri; Cypriniformes; Cyprinidae
Exons: 3
Source: RefSeq, a predicted model, not a curated record